This 4617-nucleotide long non-coding RNA is filed under the name Citrus x clementina. RNAcentral's name for it is "Citrus clementina (C. clementina) long non-coding RNA (CCLE_LNC005206)". The record is from RNAcentral. Lineage: Eukaryota; Viridiplantae; Streptophyta; Magnoliopsida; Sapindales; Rutaceae.
UUUUGGUGUUUCUGCCAGAGGUGUCCUCUGGGUGUCUUUCCAUUUUAUGGAACUUAAAUACAUUUUUAAUUAUACCAAUAUAUGUAGGCCGCUCUGGAGAGGUAUAACAAAAUUAAAGGCAAUGCUCCUGAAAGAUUGGUAUCAGGAUCUGAUGAUUUUACAAUGUUCCUCUGGGAACCUGCUGUUAGCAAACAACCUAAAACUCGUAUGACAGGUCAUCAACAGGUACAAUUUUUAUAUGUUUCUAAUUGCAAUCUAAUUUUACAGUUACUGUUUGGUGGGAGUGCAAUACUGUUCAUUUUUACUUAUCCUUCAUUGUUGUUUGUUGUCAUCUUAUUGGAAAACAUUUUCUUCUUUCUUAUAUUGACAGUUGAACUCCUAGCAUUUCAUUGUCACAUCUUUUUUAAGUGGGUUAUAAGCUUAAUCUGUGUGGCCGAUUGGUUCUUUCUUUCAUUCAAAAAAUUUUAGCUUGUAACUUUGACUUUGUGGUUGCAGCUUGUAAACCAUGUUUAUUUUUCACCUGAUGGGCAAUGGGUGGCAAGCGCCUCAUUUGAUAAGUCUAUCAAGUUAUGGAAUGGAACGACAGGAAAAUUUGUUGCUGUUUUCCGGGGACAUGUUGGGCCUGUUUAUCAGAUCAGGUUUGAGUUAAUCUAUUGUUUUAUAUAUCCGUCAAACUUUUACUGUGUGGUUGAUAUGUCAUGUUGUAUGUCACUAUACAGCUGGUCUGCGGAUAGUAGGCUUCUUCUAAGUGGGAGCAAAGAUUCCACAUUGAAGGUAACAUAACAUUUACACAAUUGUUUCAAGAUUUUGAUUGAGAUUUGCUGAGUUCAUUUAGCAUUUGAAACACCUUAAUUAUCCUACAAAAGAUCACACAUCAGUUAUGAACUUAGAUUGCCCACUUGAAGACUCGGUUUCCUGUUGACACUGUUCAUGCAUAAUGUACUUUUAGGUUUGGGAUAUACGGACACAGAAGCUGAAACAAGAUCUUCCAGGCCAUGCAGACGAGGUAUCUUCACUCUGAAAUUAAUGUCUUCUGAGCAUAAUUUCUUUUUCCUACACUAACAUGCCAUUAUAAAUAAAGAUGCAAUUGUUUUCUUACUUAAGCAUGCUGGUAAAUUAUACCCAUGAAUUUGUUUUGUGAAGGUCUUUGCUGUUGAUUGGAGUCCUGAUGGUGAGAAGGUAGCCUCCGGUGGCAAAGAUAGAGUGUUGAAGUUGUGGAUGGGUUAAACUAAUGAAUUGCAAAAGGUGCUUGCGAUUACAUGUUUUCAAAUUGUCGUUCGAGAGGCAAUCUAAUUGGUUUGAUCUUCUCAUACACAUACACUCCAACUUGUUAUAUGCUAAUCGGCGCAAGGAGUUAAUUAUCAGCUUCAAGGGUUUUGUGGAAAAACUUCAGUCACAGCAGAAGCACGCUUCAAAUCCAUGAUGAUAACAGUGUUUUGCAGAAUUGGAAGAUUGCAUUCUCACGGUUUUGGAAAAUUAUUUAACAUCAACUCAAGUUUGCAUUCUUUUCUCACUUUGUUUAACUAUGCCAGUCUUCCCUUGCUUGGAGGAGUUUGAAUUCAUUAUGCUGCAUUUUUAUCAUCAGACUAGUGACAGAUCUUACAAUGAGUUUGAAGCAAAUUGUUUGCUUGUAAAUUUACCAUAGCAUUUUGUAAUAUUGAUAUUCGUCAUAAAAUAGUUUGGGGUCUUGUGAACCGCUUGAUGAAAACACUGAUUACAUCAUUGGACCUAUUGCUUCUACUGCAAGAUGGUUAAUUACCUGCUAUGAAAUUUUCAUCCCAUUUCUGAAGUGAAUGCUUUUAUCUUAGCCCCCAGAGUUUUGUACAGAACUUGAGCCCAACUUCACAGGCACAAAAUCGUGCGGCAUAAUUUGAGCAUCUAAAAUAUGUACGUGCAAUGUGGUUUAGUUUUUGAUAAAUAUUUUCAUCUUGACAAUACUGGCAUAUUGCUUCUUCCUUCAACCUUUUCCACCCGAGUAAAGCUCUUGUUUGUAGUUCUUCAAAUCUGAAUGAUGGCAAAUAACACUUUUCUAAGAAUGCGAGUGAUACAUGCAUCAGCAAGCAACCUGGGGAUGUUUCAAAUUCACCUAGUUCUAAAAUCUAGAUAACACUCACGACUUUUUGUAACUACAUCGAAAAAUUGGAUUGAGCGUGAUUCAAUUGCAUUUUUUCUCUGUUUUUCUGGUAAGUGUUUUCUCCUAAUAGCCUUUAAGCUUUUCCCUGGUCAAAAAUUGGUCUCCUCUGCUAAGCUUAAUGAAGCAACAGUAAAUAUAGAAACCAGUAAACAAAAGAAAAACUAGCGUGACAUAACAUGUUGGUGAGAAACUAUAUUAGAGCCGUACUUUUAUUUGUCAGGUAGUAGAUAUGAAGCUUAUUUCCUCCUUUGACAGAAAAUAGGCUGGUCGUGUUAAUAACAACAAAGGAACUUCUACGAGGUUGAGGCCUCUCAACAGGGGGCUCUUUGAUUUCUUGGGUGCCAAGUUUGCAGCACCAGCAUAGCAUUCCAUCCCGACCUUCCAAGAAAUGCUCAUCACUUUUCCAAAAAGCUAAUGGCGUUCCAAGGCUUUUUUGGGUCCAUUGGUGAAUAAUUUUUUCCCAAGUUUCAUUAGCACCAAAUUCAUCCAUAACCCAAAUUGUCACCAAGAGAGGGAGGAGACAUUUUCUACAGCAUCGGCGAUGAGCUUGCACAUAAGAAUGCCACAACUGUUCCUGUGUCUGGUUCCGUAGUUAAGCAACUACGAAUUUGGGGUUUGCAAUUAGAGAAUGCCAUGACUUUUUUUUCAGGCUUGCAUUGCAGCAGUGAGUCUGCAGGCAGCCGAGCAAGUAUCUCGGCCAUCAAUUCUUCAGGAAGAUCGUUAAUCCUUGCUGUUAAUUUCUUCACUAUCCAGCAUUUGCAAGAUUACACAAGUGAAUGUUGUAUUGAAUCAUAAAAUUUGGAAGGGAAAACCUGUAAAUUCUUCUAAAUUCAGAACAGAGAAAACAGAGGAAAAAAAAAAUAGAGAGACCCGAAAUAUCAAAACCAAAAGCUAAAAUGAGGAUUGAAACGGAGAGAGCAAAAAACUUGAUGUGUCUGCUGAGGGACCCAGAAGGGAAUUCUUUAGAAGCUGCCAUAUAUUUCCCUCUACACGCCCGCCCUCAACAGCUUUCACAAACAGUUAACGAGCUUCUCAAUAAUGUAAACGAAGUUCUUCACUUUGCAAUUUAAAAAUAGCAUUGCAAAGUAAUGGGUGUGUGAAUACCCGCUAAAAAAGUUUAAAUUUUGAUUGCAUAAUUUGAUCAAUUUUAUAGUAAGUGUUUAAAGGGUACAUUUUGAAUUAGCUAAAAAGUGAUUUUAAUCAAGUUUCUUUUUGUGGGUUCCGUGAGGAGGAGAAGCAACAGUAUCUUUUUAUAUAUCAGACCAUGAGCUUGUGGUGCCACUUGGAAGUUAUUUAGAGAAAUAUAAAAGUUUGUGUUUUAGAAAAUUGUUUUAUUUUGGCUUCAAUAUCCGAACAUGGAUUUUUUUUUUUAAUAAUGUUGUAUCAACAAAAUUUUCAGUUUCUGUGGAGAAUGGAGUUGUCGAGAGCUUAUCAACCACAAGCUGCUUUCAGAAUUCGUCCACCUAAUCGUUGCUGAGCUACCAUUGCUGGUGAGUGAACGAUUUAAUAAAUUUAAUUCGUUAGUAAGAUCUCAUUGGAUAGAAGUAUCUUGACUAGUUAACGUUUUGAAAGUGUAGUUCAUACAGGAAGGGUACUUUCAGUAGCCUUUAGUCCUGAUGAUUCCUGUUGGGCGACAGUUGGCCAAGAGGUUCUGGUGAUACCACCGUCCGACUAUGGGACCUUAAUAGCCAGACACCAAUGUUCUCUGUCCUCCGGGGGACUCCACCAAGAGGUUCUUGUAGUUCAUACAAGAGCUGGGCUCUACGUGCAGCAUGGUCUCCUGGAGGUAACCUUCUAGUUAGUGGGAGCAAAGCCUGAGAAAUUCAAUUUUGGAAUCCCCAGACAGGAAAGCCAUCACGCAAUUCAUUGUACGGCCUUUUACUUGAAAAUCUCGUUUCUGUUUUGGCUUGGAUAAAAUCAAUUAGUCUUAUAUCAGGAUAUUAUUGCUAGAUUUUCUUUGCCGGGGGCCUCUAGAAUGUCUUUCCUCUGUGUUCGAUUUUGUUGAUUGACAAUGUAGCUACGUAUGCUUACACCAACUUUUCUUCACCUCUUAAUAUUUCUCUUUUUUCUCUCGAUCAAUACCCUUGCUUCUGCCAUUGUUGUUCCAUUUUAUGAAACUAUAAUACAUUUCAUUGCAUCUAUAAGUAGGCUGCUUAGGAGAGGUACAUCAAAAUGAAGACAACGCUCCUGAAAGAUUGGUGUCAGGAUCUGAGGAUUUUACAAUUUUCCUCUGGAACCUGCUGUUAGCAAACAACCUAAGACUCCCAUAAUAGGUCAACAAAAGGUAUGAAUUGUAUAUAUUUUUAGUCGCAAUAUAACUUUACAAUUACUAUUCUGUGGGAGUGCAAUGUUACCCAAUUUUUCUGAUCUUUCUUUGUUAAUUUUUCUAUGAAAGAUCAUAUAUAAACGAUGAACUUAAAUUGCCCAUUUCUUAAAGGUUUGGGACAUACGGACACAGAAGCUGAAAUAAAUUAAUAUAUUUA